CACAAAAAAUAUGCAGGCUGUACGCCGCUGUGCCCUCUCGGGGGCUAGUGGCAAAGGCUGAAAUAUUUUUCACCCAUGUCUUUUGCGCACUUGUUGUUUCCUGGGCGGGCUCGCCCGCCACCAGGACCACACCUUAAACCUUUUUUUAUGCAGUUGCAAUCAGCGUCAGUAUAACAAAUGUAAAAUCAUUUA
RNAcentral lists this unclassified non-coding RNA (192 nucleotides) under soil metagenome. RNAcentral describes it as "partial internal transcribed spacer 1". The record is from RNAcentral.